Molecule: ribosomal RNA, 450 nt
Filed under: uncultured bacterium
Lineage: Bacteria
Description: bacterial SSU rRNA
Rfam family: Bacterial small subunit ribosomal RNA
Source: RNAcentral
GUGGGGAAUAUUGGACAAUGGGCGAAAGCCUGAUCCAGCCAUGCCGCGUGUGUGAAGAAGGUCUUCGGAUUGUAAAGCACUUUAAGUUGGGAGGAAGGGCAGUAAGUUAAUACCUUGCUGUUUUGACGUUACCGACAGAAUAAGCACCGGCUAACUUCGUGCCAGCAGCCGCGGUAAUACGAAGGGUGCAAGCGUUAAUCGGAAUUACUGGGCGUAAAGCGCGCAGAGGUGGUUUUGUAAGUUGGAGGUGAAAUCCCCGGGCUCAACCUGGGAACUGCCUCCCAAACUGCAUGACUAGAGUACGGUAGAGGGUAGUGGAAUUUCCUGUGUAGCGGUGAAAUGCGUAGAUAUAGGAAGGAACACCAGUGGCGAAGGCGACUACCUGGACUGAUACUGACACUGAGGUGCGAAAGCGUGGGGAGCAAACAGGAUUAGAUACCCGAGUAGUCC